GACGAACGCUGGCGGCGUGCUUAACACAUGCAAGUCGAACGGAAAGGCCCUGCUUGCGGGGUACUCGAGUGGCGAACGGGUGAGUAACACGUGGGUGAUCUGCCCUGCACUUCGGGAUAAGCUUGGGAAACUGGGUCUAAUACCGGAUAGGAGCCAUCUUUAGUGUGGUGGUUGGAAAGUUUUUUCGGUGUAGGAUGAGCUCGCGGCCUAUCAGCUUGUUGGUGGGGUAAUGGCCUACCAAGGCGGCGACGGGUAGCCGGCCUGAGAGGGUGUACGGCCACAUUGGGACUGAGAUACGGCCCAGACUCCUACGGGAGGCAGCAGUGGGGAAUAUUGAACAAUGGGCGCAAGCCUGAUGCAGCGACGCCGCGUGGGGGAUGAAGGCCUUCGGGUUGUAAACUCCUUUCGCUAGGGACGAAGCUUUUUUGUGACGGUACCUAGAUAAGAAGCACCGGCUAACUACGU
Molecule: ribosomal RNA, 465 nt
Filed under: uncultured bacterium
Lineage: Bacteria
Description: partial 16S ribosomal RNA
Rfam family: Bacterial small subunit ribosomal RNA
Source: RNAcentral